This 231-nucleotide ribosomal RNA is filed under the name uncultured bacterium. Its description in RNAcentral is "partial 16S ribosomal RNA". It matches the Rfam family "Bacterial small subunit ribosomal RNA", at positions 109 to 334 of the family's 1533-position model. The record is from RNAcentral.
AGUAACACGUAGAUAACCUGCCCCGAUGUGGGGAAUAACUAACCGAAAGGUUAGCUAAUACCGCAUAAGUUCUCUUAUGUAAGUAGGAGAGGAAACGCUUUCGCAAGAGAGUGGCGUUGGGAGGGGUCUGCGGCGGAUUAGCUAGUUGGUGCAGUAACGGUGCACCAAGGCGACGAUCCGUAGCUGGUCUGAGAGGACGAUCAGCCACACUGGGACUGAGACACGGCCCAG